UGAGGGUUACUUCCCAUUGGGGUUGUGGCGACCUACCAAACCGGAUGGAAUGUGUCUGUUGUAGUCCUGGAGAAAUAGAGAUGCCCUUCAUUCUCAAAUGAUUUGGUCAUGUGCUUAAUUGACUGUGACUGCUGGUCGUGAUGAUGAAGAUGGUCGUCGUCUAGUCUGAUGUUUGUGCGUCUUUGGACUCAACUUGUUGGUGACAAAUGUUGAACAGUGUGGUGCGUGUCCGAAACCCUCAUAGCGAAUCGACGAGGCUUGAUCAUGAAACCGGACAAUAGCACCGUGAGUUGAGCUAAUAAAAGUGAGUGUUUGGUCAUGUUAAGAAACUGAGAAUCUGUUUAGUUUAUGCAGGCAGUGGUAUGCUAGUUCAGAUUGUACCUCAAAAAUUUGCGACGCUAUCAAGUUGCUUUUGUUUGUAUAUCUUCAGUAAAAUUGCGUUGGAGUCUCAAAAUACAUUCUAACUACUACAGAUAGGCUGAAUUAGAGGUAUUAGUAAAAAAAGAACAUCAAGCAGACUGGGCAUAUUUUUUGAAAAAAUUGAAUUUCGUACUUUCUUAAAUUUCAAAAUUCUGAUUUUUCCACAUGUAAGUAUACGUGUGCUCUGUGUGUGUGAAAUUUCAUGAAGAAAUACGUUACCAUGUGAGCAGCGCAAAAAGGACAAAUUCAUGAAACUCUUAUAGCAAACAAUGUGUGUUCUGUUUGCUAUUUUUAAAUCCGCGUAUUUGCUCUUUAAACAUGAACACUAUAAAACAAUUGUCCUCAGCCGUGCGUACCUCUUCGCUCCUACGCACGCAACGACAACCAUCGCUAGGUUUCUGAUCCCUUCUGCCACGCAGCUGCCGGCCUGCCUCAUCUCAUGUGGCCUUUGUUUGCAACUAUUUUAGACAUUUUUUUUCAAAUUUGUGGAUAUUUGGGAAAUUCAAAACACUGUUUGAAAUCUGAGAAUAUUUUUCAAAUUCAUGAACAUCUCUUGAAAUCCGGGAACAUUUAUCCAAAUUCUUGAACUUUGGUGAUUCUUUUUUCAAAUUCAUGAUUUUGAUUUUUUAAAGGAGAAAAUAUGUUUUUGGUUCCUAAAAUUCCCCAAAAUUAUAACCUUGGUCCCUCAGGAUUUUUUAGUAGACACUUGGUCCUUUAAGUCUCAAAAUCGGAUAAGUUUUGUCCAAAACAAGAUUUUGUCCAUGUUGACCGAAUUUGGCCGAUGAACAGUAAAUUCCAAAAUUAGCAAUAAAAUUUAGAAAAAUAAAAAAUUAGUGGCAACCAAGAUGCUUGGGUGUUCUAGGUGCGUGAAAAUUUGUGCGGUGAUUCGACAUUCGCGGAGCUCGUGACAAAAAAAAAAC
RNAcentral lists this long non-coding RNA (1340 nucleotides) under Triticum aestivum (bread wheat). RNAcentral describes it as "long non-coding RNA (TAES_LNC012404)". The record is from RNAcentral. Lineage: Eukaryota; Viridiplantae; Streptophyta; Magnoliopsida; Poales; Poaceae.